RNAcentral lists this long non-coding RNA (2733 nucleotides) under Lathyrus oleraceus (garden pea). Its description in RNAcentral is "Pisum sativum (pea) long non-coding RNA (PSAT_LNC000171)". Lineage: Eukaryota; Viridiplantae; Streptophyta; Magnoliopsida; Fabales; Fabaceae. The record is from RNAcentral.
AAAGAUAUGUGAGUUAGAAUUCCAUUUUAGAAACUAUAUUUCAUCGUUCCAAUUCCUUCUUUUAUAUUUGAGUCUCAUGUAUUUAAUAUACAUAUGAAAGAAUUCACAUACUCCAAAUACUUGUCCUUUCAUGUUUGAGAAGAAUCAUACUCCAAAUAGGAUAUUAAACCUUUUCUUUUUUAUCUAUAUUGGUUCAGAAUCAAGUUUUAGAUAGAGAUCUCUAUUUCUUACUCUUAACUCUUUUUUCAUGUCAAAUUUUUUCUUCAAUUUUUCUUCUUCUAUCAUAGUAUUUCAUCUUCAUCUUAAUCAACUUCUUCUCAAAUUCAACAAGUUUUCUAAUAACAUUCUCAAAAUGAAUUUUGAAUUUAUCAAAUGAAACUUGAGUAGACAUCAAAAAUUCACCGUAAAUAUUUUUCUAACUACAUCUCGAUAUUUUGGUGCUUUAUUUCUUAUAUACAAGGUUUUUCACUUUUUUCAAUUUACUUAACAACUUACUCUCAAUCUCAACUUUUUUUCUUCAUUCAUCUUUUUUUUCACUUAUUAUUUUUUUCAAAAUCCUCUUUCUCACUUUCUUGGCAUUAAUCUUCUUAUGGAGUUUAUUGUCCAACACUUAUUUGUAUUGCAACUUGAAUUAUCUACACUGAUACAUGCAUAUUCUUCAUUUGACCGAGCAUCCAACUAUUUUGAUAGUUGUUUGAUUUGCAUUAUCAAGUUUUUAUCGUUGGCUUUAAAAAAUUUGUUGGAAGUAUCCUAAGAAAUUCCCAUGGCUUUCGAGCAUUCUUGCAUCAUCUGCAUGAAUUGAAUCAUAAUUUCUUCUAAAAUGGAAGGUUCCUCAUUUGUUGUUGUUCAUGAGAUUAUUUUUAAUAUUGUUGUCCUUCAGGAUUUCAGACUUUCCUCUAAGUAUUUCUCCAUUCAAAAUUUGGCUCGUCUUUCCAUCCCAUAUUAUUUGUGUCAACACUAUUAGAAUUAUAAAUUUUGUAUUACUUUCUUAUUAUAGUCAUUUAUCCGACUGAAAUAAUAUCUUUUUAUUAGGCAUUUUUUUAAUAACUUUUUCCAAUGGUUCAAAUUAACAGAAAAUUUAUGAUUUUUCUUUACAAAAAGGGCAUGUUCCCUUAAUUUCUAUUUUUAAGUAAAAAGUAAACUACUUUUCAUCCCGGUCUAAAGUAACAACCGUGGUAAAAUGUUAGGGACAUUUCAACACGAUUGUUUCUAUCAACCGUGGUGAACAUUUUUAUCCAUAUAAACUAAACUUUAUUCAUUUCAGAAUAGACUCUGUCCUAAUUCCAUAAGUAAAACUCUAACCUCUCAUACCUUAUCUCAAACUCACAAAAUUAAAACAUAUCUUCAAAAAAAUCUAACAUAAUUUGUCCAACUAGUAUGAAUCAAGAAAAUGUGUCACUAAUUUUUACAAGAUGGAAACAUGAAACUCAUUUCUUAUUUUUCCUCUUCACAUUUUCGGUACGUGCGUAAAAUAUUUUUCACCAUUCGUUUUAUGAGUUAUGUUAUUGUUAUUGUUAAAAUAACUUGUCCUUUAGAUUUGUUGUUUUUCAUAUUGUAGAGACACUAAAUCAUAUAUGUAAAUUAUUAUUUUUUGCUGAGUUAUUUUCUUAUUUUUGUUUAGCUAAUAAAAGGUUUUUAGUUAUUCUUUUGUUGUUAAGAUUGUUAGAACAAGAUUUGGUUCUGCAUCUAUACCUUGAGGUUUGAUGACAACAAUAUUGUAUUUGUAUACCUUGUGUGAGAAUAAUUUUGGUACUCUAAUGUCUUGUUAUUGUGUAGCUUUAAUAGUCAGUUCUUAUUCUAAGUAUCUGACGUGCAACGUCAUCAGUUUCUGAAUAUUGUGUUCUAAGUUCCACUUUUGCGCUAAUCAUGAGAAGUUGUGAAAGAUAUCAAGUUGUUGCUGCAAUAUUCUUUCCGCUUCUAUAUUGAUUCACUCUUGAGAAGUUUCUGAAGAGACACUAUGUUGCUGCUAUAACAUUCUCUUCGUUUCUGCUUUUGGAUGUGACUCUAAUCAUCAAACUUCUGAAGAAUGGCAAGCUUCUGAAGUUUUGUUACUUAACUGAAGAUUCUGAAGAUCUCAAGUCAGACUGCUGACGCUGUCAAGAUUCUACUGAAGAUUCUGAAGUUUCUGAAUUCAGCUGUGUGUUUCUUCUUUUCAUGAUUCAUCAACUUUCAUCAGAAGCCAAUGAAUUUGAAGAUAAGAUAAAAAUGGAUAUGUGAUCAAAUAGUACAUGGUACUAAUCAAAUAUUUCUUCAUCUAGCUGAUAUGAUGGGUAAAGGACAAUACUAUACAUCAUACAUAUCACUAAAAUCAUGGGUGAAGGAUUGUAUUAUGUAUCACUCCUUUCACCAAUCCAACAAUGGACAGCCGCUCUUCUUGGUAUCCCAAUUUUUCCCUUCAACAAUCUCUUUUUCAUGCUAUAUAAAUAGGACUUGGAGCCUUGAAGAAAAGAUACUGCAACAAUUUCAUAAGACUGUUUUCUACGUGAAAAGAUAUAGACUUUAUUCAUACUUUUCUUUAAGUGUUUGUUUUUCAUUUGUGUAAAAAUAUGCUUGUGUAGAAGUAUCUUGUAAACACAAAACCUUUGAUUCAAACUGUUGUUUGUGAUUCCUUAAGGAUAGUAGGUUAUAGUCGGAUCCUUGAGAAGACAAAGAAGGUUAUUCUUUGUGAUUAUUGUAAUAAGUUGAUUAUAUUGGAUUAAGUCCUUGUGUAUAAGACAAAAUCACCUUGGCGGA